RNAcentral lists this ribosomal RNA (397 nucleotides) under uncultured bacterium. RNAcentral describes it as "bacterial SSU rRNA". It matches the Rfam family "Bacterial small subunit ribosomal RNA", at positions 355 to 769 of the family's 1533-position model. The record is from RNAcentral.
UGGGGAAUAUUGCACAAUGGGCGAAAGCCUGAUGCAGCAACGCCGCGUGAGUGAUGACGGCCUUCGGGUUGUAAAGCUCUGUCUUUGGGGGCGAUAAUGACGGUACCCAAGGAGGAAGCCACGGCUAACUACGUGCCAGCAGCCGCGGUAAUACGUAGGUGGCAAGCGUUGUCCGGAUUUACUGGGCGUAAAGGGUGCGUAGGCGGACCUUUACGAGAGAUGUGAAAUCCCCGAGCUUAACUUGGGGGCUGCAUUUCAAAGUGGAGGUCAAGAGUGCAGGAGAGGAGGGUGGAAUUCCUAGUGUGGCGGUGAAAUACGUAGAGAUUAGGAAGAACACCAGUGGCGAAGACGACUCUCUGGACUGUAACUGACGCUGAGGCACGCAAGCGUGGGGAGC